GACGAACGCUGGUGGCGUGCCUCAUACAUGCAAGUCGAGCGAGGCUUCGAGUCGAGCGGCGUACGGGUGAGUAUCGCGUGAGUAACCUACCCUAUAGUUGGGAAUAACCCCCCUAACGGGGGACUAAUACCGAAUAUUGAGUGGCACUGCAUAGUGCUUAGUCGAAAGGGCGCAAGCCCGCUAAAGGAUGGACUCGCGUCUGAUUAGCUAGUUGGAGGGGUAACGGCCCACCAAGGCGAUGAUCAGUAGCCGACCUGAGAGGACGAUCCCCCACACUGGUACUGAGACACGGUCCAGACUCCUACGGGAGGCAGCAGUAGGGAGUUUUCGGCAAUGGGGGAAACCCUGACCGAGCAACGCCGCGUGAGUGAUGAAGGUCUUCGGAUUGUAAAGCUCUGUUAUAAGGGAAGAACGGCAGCUAGAGGAAAUGCUAGCUGUUUGACGGUACUUUAUGAGAAAGCCACGGCUAACUACGUG
Molecule: ribosomal RNA, 477 nt
Filed under: uncultured bacterium
Lineage: Bacteria
Description: bacterial SSU rRNA
Rfam family: Bacterial small subunit ribosomal RNA
Source: RNAcentral